This 342-nucleotide long non-coding RNA is filed under the name Gallus gallus (chicken). Lineage: Eukaryota; Metazoa; Chordata; Aves; Galliformes; Phasianidae. The record is from RNAcentral.
AGCAGAUGAUGUCUGGGAGCCAAACGAUUCUUGAGAUAACUCCUGAGGAGGGGGGAAGCGUUGCUGGGAAUAUGCAGACUGCUGCUGCUGCGGCUGUGACUGAGGGUAUGAAGAUGACUGCUGAGAAAGAGCCGAGGAAGCUGUCUGCUGAGUUUGCUGCUGCUGCUGGUAGGGUGACUGUGACUGCUGCUGUGAGUAGGGAGGCUGAUUCUGUUGAUGCUGCUGGGCUGUGGACUGCUGCUGAGGAUAUGGAGUUGGGGACUGCUGAUGGGGCGGCUGGGACUGCUGCUGCGAAUACGCAGGCUGCGAUGUCUGAAGCUGUGGAGCUUGAGACUGAGGCUG